UUCUCUGAUGAGUCAGUCGUGGCGUGGCGAGCUAAAACGGCUAAAACUAAAUUUUACUUCAGCCAUCGCUCAUAAAGUGAUAGUUAAGCUGGUUCCGAGCGAGGGAAACCUCGGAAACUACUUGUUUAUGGUACUAAAUCUCAACGUUGGUGUUGUAUCAUGGUCGUGUUGCCGAAAAUAUGCUGCAUUGAGGCGUCAACCUUGGGCUAUCGACAAGAAGGCUUUGAUUUUUCCCACUUCCUUAAUCACUGCCGUGAUUCAUGCAGAAAUUCUGCAAUGGAAAAUGACGCACGCAACGAAGCCAUCCACAGUGCGUGUCCGGAUACCUUAUCAACGCAUUAUCAACGGUGGAAAUACUAAUUGGUGUUCGUCGCUAUCGUACCUAGAGGGCAACAUUUUUUACAAGCAGCUGAUGGACACGAAAAUGCGUAUACUGGGAUGCAAUUGCACGAGAAUUACCAUUACAGAUGCAGCAGCAGGAAAAAGAGUCAUUCAAGAAGACAAAUCCAAACAACAGCGAAGAUGACUUGCGACGAAGAUCGGUUUAUUUUACAAAUGCGUAAACUGUAUGCAGUUCAAAAAAGCUAACGUGAAAAUAGGACCGAAUAACGGUGGAAACCCCAGACGAUCAUCGUUUAAAUGAAGCUUCCCACCCCCAUUUGUUCGAUGGCGAAACCCGGGGGCGACACUAAACGUUAGCAUUCUGGAUGCUACGCCAACACAUCCCGAUGCGACUAGCCAUGAAAUUCGGGCGGGAAAUACCACCCGUGUAAAACGAUGGAGAUACUCGUGGGCGGAAAUGAUCGUGACCUAAGCGACAGUAAAAUGCACAUUGGUAUGCAGUCAAAAUUCUCUCUAGGAUCCAUACGAUCUGUAAUCCAAACACAUUUUUCUUCAGUAAGAAUUUCUUCUGGAUUCACAUAUGAUUCUUUCUCGAAUACGAUCGGUAUUUUUCUUGGAACUCUUCUCAGGAUUCAGUCGGUUUUAUAUCUGGCUCCAGCAAAAAUCUAAAUUCAAUUUCGGAAAGAAUUGAGAAGGUGGCAUUACUGGAUUACAUAACAAUUUCCGACUGGAUUGUAGAACAAACCCCCAGUAGAUUAAAGAAAAUAUCUUGCUAGUUUCAGUUCCUCGAGGAGUCUACCCAGGUUUACCGAAAAAAUGUACAAAUAUAAUAUU
Long non-coding RNA from Armigeres subalbatus, 1176 nucleotides. RefSeq lists it as uncharacterized. Lineage: Eukaryota; Metazoa; Arthropoda; Insecta; Diptera; Culicidae. The transcript is spliced from 3 exons. The record is from RefSeq and is a predicted model, not a curated record.